GGGGGAGGAGUCUGAGUGGUGGGGACAGCAUGGAGCUGAAGUCUAUGUUUAGACAAUGGCUGGCAGCCUAGCCUGCUUCAAGCCCUCUGCUGAUGAGGGCUCAGGCCUCUUACCUGAGCAUCUCUGUGAUGUCACCAUGGCCUUGUUUCUCCUACUAGACCAUGAAGGGAGGGCCUUGAAAAGAAGGCUGAGGCGUUGGGCCUAGGGGGUGCCUCUUCUCCGUUGUUCCCCCCAGACAUUCUGCAGAAGCUCAAUACAUCCACCCAUCCCCUGGCCACAGGAUUAGCUGGUGCACUUGAUGUUGAGGGGCAGUUGCUAGGGCCAAGAGGCCCCCCUAUGUGGUUGCUAAGGGUCUGGCAUGGGGUGAGAGGUCUGCCCACUGCCGCGGUCACGGAGGGAAUUACACAGUCACAAAGAAAUUGUUCUUCUCAGUAAUCUGUUCUCGGCCACCGGGUGGGGUACGGGUGGGGGAGCAGGCUGGAGCCCAGCAGGCUGGGGGCUGUGAUCACAGAGGCGUGUUAGCCCUGGGCUGGGGGCCAGAGACCGAGAACACCAGGGACCAGCACACUAAGCUGCUUUCUCAGCUAUUUCUGUCCCUGGACACAAAGGUGUUUACUUGUUUUAACAUUUCCUAGGACUCUCCUUUCUCCCUUUGUGUGGUCUUUAUCCCCAAUAAGGUUUGAGCCUGAGAUUACAGGCAAGAAUUAAGGCACUGGACUCAGACAGCUCAGAACUGCAUGACCUACCAGAUCAAGGAGUAUAAAGUAACCAAGUGUGUGCUUCUGAGGGGCCGACCCCUUCAGCAAGAGCCAUUCAUUGCCCCAGAGGGAGCAGGCAGCUAGCAUGCAGGUGUGAUGGAGGAGGGCGCAGCAUUGCCCCACCGAGGCUUCAGCUGGGGGCUGAGUACUAGGGGAGGGGCGGGCCAUGUCGCUGUUUGGUCCAGGGCUCCAUAUCUUCCUUCCCUCAGCCCUCUUCCUUUCACUGUCUGCCCUGUUUUCUUCCAGUGGGCAGCUGAUCACACAUCUGGGCAGUGACUUCCCCCCAGGGGCUGGGGUGCUGGAUGUCAUGUAUGAGUCCCCCUCUACACUACUGUCCUGUGGUUAUGAUACCUAUGUCCGCUACUGGGACCUCCGCACAAGUGCCCGGUGAGUGUGCUGGAUAGGGAGCACAGGAGCCCUGUACAGGUGCAGGCUCAUUUUAGUCCUCAGUCAGCCCAGGGCACAGACUCCAGGUCAGCAAGGCCAUAUCAAGUUCAGACUCCCUACCCUUAGGCAGCUCUGGUCACUGUGGCCCGGGAGACUGAAA
RNAcentral lists this long non-coding RNA (1305 nucleotides) under Rattus norvegicus (Norway rat). Its description in RNAcentral is "long non-coding RNA NONRATT003842". Lineage: Eukaryota; Metazoa; Chordata; Mammalia; Rodentia; Muridae. The record is from RNAcentral.